Molecule: ribosomal RNA, 253 nt
Filed under: uncultured bacterium
Lineage: Bacteria
Description: partial 16S ribosomal RNA
Rfam family: Bacterial small subunit ribosomal RNA
Source: RNAcentral
CACGUAGGGCGCGAGCGUUGUCCGGAAUUAUUGGGCGUAAAGAGCUCGUAGGCGGCCUGUUGCGUCCGCUGUGAAAGCCCGGGGCUUAACCCCGGGUCGGCAGUGGAUACGGGCAGGCUAGAGGUAGGUAGGGGAGAAUGGAAUUCCCGGUGUAGCGGUGAAAUGCGCAGAUAUCGGGAAGAACACCGGUGGCGAAGGCGGCGCUCUGGACCGAGACUGACGCUGAGGCGCGAAAGCGUGGGGAGCAAACAGG